ACUAACAAGGAUUCCCCUAGUAACGGCGAGUGAACCGGGAUGAGCUCAAAUUUGUAAUCUGGCGUGCUCCGCGCGUCCGAGUUGUAAUCUAUAGAAGCGUUUUCCGUGCCGGACCGUGUCCAAGUCCCUUGGAACAGGGUAUCAAAGAGGGUGACAAUCCCGUACUUGACACGACGACCGGUGCUCUGUGAUACGUUUUCUACGAGUCGAGUUGUUUGGGAAUGCAGCUCAAAACGGGUGGUAAAUUCCAUCUAAGGCUAAAUAUUGGCGAGAGACCGAUAGCGAACAAGUACCGUGAGGGAAAGAUGAAAAGCACUUUGGAAAGAGAGUUAAACAGUACGUGAAAUUGUUGAAAGGGAAACGAUUGAAGUCAGUCGUGUCCAAGGGAUUCAGCCGGUUCUUCCGGUCUACUUCUCUUGGACGGGUCAACAUCAGUUUUGGCCGGUGGAUAAAGGCUGGAGGAAUGUGGCACCCUCGGGUGUGUUAUAGCCUCCUGUCACAUACAUCGGCCGAGACUGAGGAAUGCAGCUCGCCUCACGGCC
RNAcentral lists this ribosomal RNA (542 nucleotides) under Genolevuria sp. RNAcentral describes it as "partial large subunit ribosomal RNA". It matches the Rfam family "Eukaryotic large subunit ribosomal RNA", at positions 64 to 612 of the family's 3401-position model. The record is from RNAcentral. Lineage: Eukaryota; Fungi; Basidiomycota; Tremellomycetes; Tremellales; Bulleraceae.